RNAcentral lists this ribosomal RNA (448 nucleotides) under uncultured bacterium. Its description in RNAcentral is "bacterial SSU rRNA". It matches the Rfam family "Bacterial small subunit ribosomal RNA", at positions 329 to 793 of the family's 1533-position model. The record is from RNAcentral.
GCCCAGACUCCUACGGGAGGCAGCAGUGGGGAAUAUUGCACAAUGGGGGAAACCCUGAUGCAGCGACGCCGCGUGAGGGAAGAAGGUUUUCGGAUUGUAAACCUCUGUCCUUGGUGACGAAAGAAGACGGUAGCCAAGGAGGAAGCCACGGCUAACUACGUGCCAGCAGCCGCGGUAAUACGUAGGUGGCAAGCGUUAUUCGGAUUUACUGGGUGUAAAGGGCGUGUAGGCGGGACUGCAAGUCAGAUGUGAAAACCACGGGCUCAACCUGUGGCCUGCAUUUGAAACUGUAGUUCUUGAGUACUGGAGAGGCAGACGGAAUUCCUAGUGUAGCGGUGAAAUGCGUAGAUAUUAGGAGGAACACCAGUGGCGAAGGCGGCCUGCUGGACGAUGACUGACGUUGAGGCUCGAAAGCGUGGGGAGCAAACAGGAUUAGAUACCCCAGUAU